GACGAACGCUGGCGGCGUGCUUAACACAUGCAAGUCGAGCGGUAAGGCCCUUCGGGGUACACGAGCGGCGAACGGGUGAGUAACACGUGGGUGAUCUGCCCUGUACUUCGGGAUAAGCCUGGGAAACUGGGUCUAAUACCGGAUAUGACCUUCGGUUGCAUGACCGUGGGUGGAAAGAUUUAUCGGUACAGGAUGGGCCCGCGGCCUAUCAGCUUGUUGGUGGGGUAAUGGCCUACCAAGGCGACGACGGGUAGCCGGCCUGAGAGGGCGACCGGCCACACUGGGACUGAGACACGGCCCAGACUCCUACGGGAGGCAGCAGUGGGGAAUAUUGCACAAUGGGCGAAAGCCUGAUGCAGCGACGCCGCGUGAGGGAUGACGGCCUUCGGGUUGUAAACCUCUUUCGACAGGGACGAAGCGCAAGUGACGGUACCUGUAGAAGAAGCACCGGCCAACUACGUG
This 462-nucleotide ribosomal RNA is filed under the name Nocardia neocaledoniensis. Its description in RNAcentral is "bacterial SSU rRNA". It matches the Rfam family "Bacterial small subunit ribosomal RNA", at positions 28 to 507 of the family's 1533-position model. The record is from RNAcentral. RNAcentral also lists the same sequence under 1 other name. Lineage: Bacteria; Bacillati; Actinomycetota; Actinomycetes; Mycobacteriales; Nocardiaceae.